AUUUUUUGACCAGCAGUAGUGGAAGGACGUGGAGCUGUAAAGAUAAAAGUUCAGUAUUCAAAAUCAAGACAAUUGACUAGACAGAGGCUAAGCCAAUUGCUCAUAAUUUCUUAUUCAUGUUGACAACAAAAUAAAACUGACCGAAGUUAUACUCCCUCUGUUCCGAAAUAAUUGUCGUUGGGCAAACACAGUUCAGAUUCUGUCACGUUAUAAAAAAGUUUCACUUUCCAAUUUUGCCCUCCCACUCACUCGCUCCCACUAGCUCUCUCGCUCGCCGCUCUCCGUCUCCUCCCCGUCGCCGCUCUCUCCCCCUCCCCUCCGUCAACGCCCUCUCCCUCUCCUCGUCGCCGCUCUCUCACUCUCCUCAUCGCCGCCCUCUUCCUUUCCUCGUAGCCGGCCUCUCCCUCUUCCCGUCGCCGGCCUCUCCCUCUCCCCGUCGCCGGCCUCUUCCACCGCCCUUUUUUCCUCACCACCCCGCCUCCACUCAUACCCCGUAAGUCAACAAAAUAUCGAUUCUUUUUGCGCCGGCGACGAGCUUCUAGGUGAAGGACGUGUGGAUGUGUAGCGGCGCCAGAGCUCGAUAUAGGCAACGAAGGCGUGGACGUGGAGCGGUGCCCGAGCGGCGGAUCUGGAGCGGCGGCUCUGGAGCGGCGCCCGAGCAACAGAGGGAGCUGGAGUUCCCUCCUGGCGUGGCGGCUCGAUCUGCAACUCCAGCAGCUGCGGUACGCCACCCUCGCUGCUGUCGCAGGGAGACGACGCUCUUCCCCUUCUCGGUCCGCCCUGAUGUGGUUUCCUCUCCGUGACCCGUCAUCGGAGGCACGACCAGAGGCAUCCCCACUGCGUGCAGCUGCUGCUCCCGGACGCCGCCGCCGCCCUCCGCAAGGAGCGACGAUAGCCUGAAGCUCUGCGGCCCGGCGUGCGCCGAGCGGCGCGCCGCGGGGGCACCGUCACCGACCGGCCACACGACAUCGCUCUCGUCCAGCUAGAAGCAUGCGCUGUCGUGGCCCGCCUCCGACUGCUUCAGCAAGCCAAGAAACUGGAACGCGCCCAUUCCCGGCGACCUCGGCAUCUCCAUCGAUGAUGAAAUCUUGCGAGCUUGUGGCUCGUUAUACUGAGUUGGAGAACAAGCAUAUCCAGCUCGAACUUGAUUUGAACCUUGUCCAGGAGAACUUCACGAAGGCGAAGGAGGAGGCAAAAGAUAAACUGAAGGAGGCUCGAAAGAAGAAGGACCUUGACCUCGUCGAGGCGCAGAAAGCGGCUUUGGACAAGACGAAGCUCGCAGAAGAAAAGCUGGCUUCAAUCAGCAAACUUGAAGAGGAGAAUACCAAUCUGAAAGCUGCUCUCAACACGGCCAACAAGGAGGUCAGUCGACUGAAGAAUGACAAACCCUAAACCCUGAGUGACAAGGCUAGCGAAUUGAUGGGGAAGAAGAACAAUCUGGAGUCUUAUCUGGAAGGGCUCGCCAAGAAGUUAUUCCUCAUGCUUGAAGAUAAUUUGAUCGAAAAGGGACGGCAUGCUGAGGUGUACAAAGGACAGCUUGCCGAUGGACAGUUUGUGGCAGUGAAGAGGUUAACAAAAAUACUUAACCAAGCAUGCUGAGGAGUACAUUAUCUACAUUAUUCUGUUUGAGGAGUACAGUAUAUGUGUAAUGCAUGAAGACCCUUAAGCCCUCUCUGACAGGAAGAUCUUUCAUUGGCACAAAAGGGGUACCAUGAGAAAAUAAAUAUUUGUUUAUUCAGCCCUCUUUUCUCUCUAUCUCUAGUUCUUCAGUUUUCUGUGUCUUUAGAAUUUUUGUUUUCAGUGUUUCUGUAGUCUAGUCUUCAGUUUUCAGUACCUUUCUACUCCUAAUAAUCAUUAGUGUUUUUAGUGCAGGAGUAUAAUUUUGUUUCAGUCAUUAGUGUUUUAGUUUUCAUUACCUAAUAAUCGGACCUUAGCUCGUUCUCUUUAAUCAGUACCCGUGCUAGUAUUUUCUUAGUAUGUGAGCUUGCAUCAUUGUUCAGUCACACUAAAUUUUGUCAAGUCUGCAUAGCUAGUUAUUCAGUUCUUGGUUUCUUUUUAGUUUUUCAAUUGUGAUCCUUCCUCACCUAAGUUCUUCACUUUGUGUCUUAGUUUGUGAGCUUCCAUCAUUGUUCUGUCUACUAGUCUAUCAGUCUAAGUCCCUAGUGCUUACUCACUCUGUCAUUUUCCAGUAAGUCCCUGCUCAUUUUAAGGUGUUCCUCAACUGAUUUUGCACUCAACUGUUUCAGUAUCAUUGUCUUUGGCGACGUUGAUCCUUCUUCACGUAUGCUGGUUGUUGCAUUUGAAUUCAGGUUAGUUUGCCAAAGGAAAGUUUCAGUCAUUCUUCCCUGUGAACAAGAGCAUGAUCGAUGCGAGUGUGAUUCGCUGUUUAUUCACGACAGUCGUUUUACAAUAGUUUGUGCAUCAUGCUCUUGUUCACGUGGUCAGGUUUUCUUGUAAUUUUGCUUGCUGUAGAUAUACUCCAAAGCAAAAGAAAUCUGAAGCUAAGCUAGCUAGCAACGGUGGUGACUGCUAUGCUUUUAGUCUGUUCUUUGUUGAGAAUUUUCAUGCAAUAUGCCUGUUUCAUCACAUGACAUUUGACUAUGAAUGAACUUAGGUAACGCCGUUGAAGUUGGUAUCUUGCUUGUUUCCAAGUCUUGCGGUUGUACAUGAUGGUUUCAUCAGAUGGAUGUGAACUGAAUGUAUGUCCAGUUUACACCGAUGUAACCUGAUUCUGAAGAAAAGAAUGCCACAUACAGAUGGCGUCGACCUUGGCCUCCUCGUCGAUCUGACUCUGCAUUAAGAAAACUUGUUGGCAUCAAGUGUCCCCCUUCCUCCACCGGUAGCCUUCCAUCGAAUUCACAUCAGAACACUUCAUUCAUUCACCCAGAAAAAAUAACUGACAUUGCCAACAUCUCACAAGAAAGAAGAGAGCAGAGUUGAAGUUGCCAGCCAGCCUGUUUACUUGCAGCUACACCAGUGUUCUUCUUCUUCUUCUUCGCAGAAUCAAUCGGGUUUACUUGCAGCCUUACUCACUUUGUGUCUUAGUUAAUCAAAUUCCUCAAUUGAGGAACACCUGGAAUUGUCAUUCCGGUCUUGGGAUCAAUAGUAGCAUAUGGACUUAUCAUUCUGGUUUUUGGAUGAUUUAGUUAAUCAAAUUGACAUCAAUUGACCUGUUUUUAAGAUCAAUUGCAGAUUCUCUUGAUUGGAGUGGAGAGGAGCAGAUACGAGAGGAGCAGCAGAAGUGGACAGCGCAGCGGCUGACCUCGAGCUCUUGAUUGGAGUGGGGGGAGGCGGCCGGCGAAGGAUCUGUUGCCAGCAGCGAAGGAUCCGAAGUUGUGGCGGAGCAGGCAGCCGGCGGGAAGGGCGGACGGCGAGGGAGCUGCAGACCUUGGCGCGGAAGGGCGGCCGAUGAGGGAACUGUGGACCACGGCGGGGAAGGGCGGCCGGCCGGCGAGGGAGCUGCGGACCGCGGCGGGGAAGGACGUCGGAGAUGCGGACGACGGAGGAGCCCGGCGAAAGGGAGCAGCGACGGCGGAGAAGCCUGGCGGAGGGGAGGAGCGACAGAGGAAGACGCCUCCCGAUGGAUUUCAAAUCGGGGGUAGUAUUGUACUUUCACACUAUUUCACCUGGUCGGGAGGAUGCCCCAGCGACAAUUAUUUCGGAACGGAGGGAGUA
Triticum aestivum (bread wheat) is the source of this 3675-nucleotide RNA transcript. RefSeq lists it as uncharacterized. Lineage: Eukaryota; Viridiplantae; Streptophyta; Magnoliopsida; Poales; Poaceae. The record is from RefSeq and is a predicted model, not a curated record. The transcript has 5 exons.